RNAcentral lists this ribosomal RNA (561 nucleotides) under Triticum aestivum (bread wheat). RNAcentral's name for it is "partial small subunit ribosomal RNA". Lineage: Eukaryota; Viridiplantae; Streptophyta; Magnoliopsida; Poales; Poaceae. The record is from RNAcentral.
AUGGCAUUUAACCAGUACACGCAUAACCUACUUUCAUCCAAGAAAAUGGAUCUUGAAGGUGCAAUUGCGAACGAAAGCAUACACUUGCAAUGGACUGAAGAAGAAGACGUACGACUGGUAAAAGGUUGUUUUCACUCUCUACAACGGUUGGUUUCUAUAAUUGUUCUUAAUUACUGUAGUAUGUCCAACAUGCAGAUCUUUGCAUGCUUAAACAACUCAAUUCAGGCUAUCUAUGAAAAUUUAGAGGAUUUGUGGAACCAAAUCACCGACGAUUUCAACGAAAAUAGUCUUCAUGAACGACGGAGGCAGACAAUCCAAUGCAAGCGACACCGAUAUAAGCUAAAUCAUAGAAUUGUCUUAUUUCAUAGCAUGUGGCGUAGGGUGAGAGAUGUGUACAUUAAUGGCAGAUCCAGUGAUGAAUUAGUGUCUAGAGCACUUGAUCUGUACAAGUCAGAAACAAACAAGUCCUUCAAAGAUCUGAACUCAUGGAAUGUGCUAAGGAAUGAGCCCCACUGGAACUGGAUCAACUUCCCAGUGAUAAGACAACGAUGCACAAUUUGA